UGUGAACGUGCUAAGAGAACUCUCUCGUCAACUGCUCAGACCACUAUUGAGAUUGAUUCGUUGUAUGAGGGUAUUGACUUCUACUCCACCAUCACUCGUGCCAGGUUCGAGGAACUUAACAUGGAUUUAUUCAGAAAAUGUAUGGAACCAGUUGAGAAGUGUUUGAGAGAUGCCAAGAUGGACAAGAGCUCUGUACAUGAUGUUGAGCCACCAACAAGCACAACAUCAUG
This 230-nucleotide unclassified non-coding RNA is filed under the name Hevea brasiliensis (rubber tree). The record is from RNAcentral. Lineage: Eukaryota; Viridiplantae; Streptophyta; Magnoliopsida; Malpighiales; Euphorbiaceae.